AGAGUUUGAUCCUGGCUCAGGAUGAACGCUGGCGGCGUGCUUAGCACAUGCAAGUCGAACGCACCUUCGGGUGAGUGGCGGACGGGUGAGUAACGCGUGGGAAUCUGCCCUUAGGAGGGGGAUAACGGCUGGAAACGGCCGCUAAUACCCCAUAUGCCGAGAGGUGAAACGAAUUUCGCCUGAGGAUGAGCCCGCGUCUGAUUAGCUAGUUGGUGGGGUAAGAGCCCACCAAGGCGACGAUCAGUAGCUGGUCUGAGAGGAUGAUCAGCCACACUGGGACUGAGACACGGCCCAGACUCCUACGGGAGGCAGCAGUGGGGAAUUUUCCGCAAUGGGCGAAAGCCUGACGGAGCAACGCCGCGUGAGGGAUGAAGGCCUCUGGGCUGUAAACCUCUUUUCUCAAGGAAGAAGACAUGACGGUACUUGAGGAAUAAGCCACGGCUAAUUCCGUGCCAGCAGCCGCGGUAAUACGGGAGUGGCAAGCGUUAUCCGGAAUUAUUGGGCGUAAAGCGUCCGCAGGCGGCUCUGUAAGUCUGUUGUUAAAGCGUGGAGCUCAACUCCAUUUCAGCAAUGGAAACUACAGGGCUUGAGUGUGGUAGGGGCAGAGGGAAUUCCCGGUGUAGCGGUGAAAUGCGUAGAUAUCGGGAAGAACACCAGUGGCGAAGGCACUCUGCUGGGCCAUAACUGACGCUCAUGGACGAAAGCCAGGGGAGCGAAAGGGAUUAGAUACCCCUGUAGUCCUGGCCGUAAACGAUGAACACUAGGUGUCGGGGGAAUCGACCCCCUCGGUGUCGUAGCCAACGCGUUAAGUGUUCCGCCUGGGGAGUACGCACGCAAGUGUGAAACUCAAAGGAAUUGACGGGGGCCCGCACAAGCGGUGGAGUAUGUGGUUUAAUUCGAUGCAACGCGAAGAACCUUACCAGGGUUUGACAUCCUGCGAAUCCCUUGGAAACUUGGGAGUGCCUUCGGGAGCGCAGAGACAGGUGGUGCAUGGCUGUCGUCAGCUCGUGUCGUGAGAUGUUGGGUUAAGUCCCGCAACGAGCGCAACCCACGUCUUUAGUUGCCAGCAUUCAGUUGGGCACUCUAGAGAGACCGCCGGUGAUAAACCGGAGGAAGGUGUGGAUGACGUCAAGUCAUCAUGCCCCUUACAUCCUGGGCUACACACGUACUACAAUGCUACGGACAGAGGGCAGCAAGCUCGCGAGAGUUAGCAAAUCCCAUAAACCGUGGCUCAGUUCAGAUCGUAGGCUGCAACUCGCCUACGUGAAGGAGGAAUCGCUAGUAAUCGCAGGUCAGCGUACUGCGGUGAAUACGUUCCCGGGCCUUGUACACACCGCCCGUCACACCAUGGAAGUUGGCCAUGCCCGAAGUCGUUACUCCAACCC
Molecule: ribosomal RNA, 1385 nt
Filed under: metagenome
Description: bacterial SSU rRNA
Rfam family: Bacterial small subunit ribosomal RNA
Source: RNAcentral